This 72-nucleotide transfer RNA is filed under the name marine sediment metagenome. It matches the Rfam family "tRNA". Rfam says of the family: Transfer RNA (tRNA) molecules are approximately 80 nucleotides in length. Their secondary structure includes four short double-helical elements and three loops (D, anti-codon, and T loops). The record is from RNAcentral.
GUCCCCUUCGUCUAGUGGUUAGGACUCGGGAUUUUCGAUCCCGCAACAGGGGUUCGACUCCCCUAGGGGACG